Molecule: long non-coding RNA, 289 nt
Organism: Pyrus x bretschneideri (Chinese white pear)
Lineage: Eukaryota; Viridiplantae; Streptophyta; Magnoliopsida; Rosales; Rosaceae
Exons: 3
Source: RefSeq, a predicted model, not a curated record
UCACUGUCUCUCCCUGUCUCUCUCUCUCUGUCUUCCCCCGAGAACCCCAUUCCUUCUUCUUCUUCCAUUUGAAAACGUACGGACACACACCAAACCCCUCAAACCAUCACAGAUCGAGGAAACUAAGGACACCUUCGAACUCGUGAAGCUCGUGUGAGUCCAACCAUACCAUUUGCAGGAGUCUCGGAGUAGCUCGUUUGGUGAUUUUGGACGUCAGGAUCGUUGGAUGUGGAAUUGGCCGAGUUUUGGAGUUUUGGACAGGUGAUUCCUAUCCCGAGGACGAGCGUGC